AUGCUCUAUUCUAUCUCAUCUAGUUCCGAAGUUAUACGCAAAAAUGUGAAAAUAUAAAUUGCUGAUUCAGCACAACGUGUGACGUCAUUAGCUGGGUAAGUAUGUUUAUUGAAUACUACACUGAAGCAUAGCUCAGUUAUUAUGGGCCCAAAUCAAAUGAAACUUUGCAUACUGAUUGUACAUGAUGAGACGCAUGGAAAAACACUUCUAAUUUUGUUGCCAAGGUAACAAUGUCGUUUCCAGGCCCCUUACGCCAAUUUUAUGAAACAGCUUUAUUCAAGGUACUGAUACGAAUAAAAUAAUAUCAGAAGUAUGUAUAUGAUACCUAUGCAUGCCAAAAGUUUACUUGCAUGAUAAUAAUUCGAAAAUGACAUACACAUAGAUAAAUGCAACUAGUUAUUCAAAAUCAGUGUAAGAGGCCUGGGAACGACUGUGUUGCCU
This 441-nucleotide long non-coding RNA is filed under the name Paramuricea clavata. The record is from RNAcentral. Lineage: Eukaryota; Metazoa; Cnidaria; Anthozoa; Malacalcyonacea; Plexauridae.